CCUACGGGUGGCUGCAGUGAGGAAUAUUGGUCAAUGGCCGGAAGGCUGAACCAGCCAAGCCGCGUGAAGGACGAAGGUGCCAAGCAUUGUAAACUUCUUUUGUCAAGGGACAAAAUCAGGCUCGAGAGCCUGACCGAGGGUACUUGAAGAAAAAGCAUCGGCUAACUCCGUGCCAGCAGCCGCGGUAAUACGGGGGAGGCGAGCGUUAUCCGGUUUUAUUGGGUUUAAAGGGUGCGUAGACGGGCUGUUAGGUCAGCGGUAAAAGCCCGGGGCUCAACCCCGGGGAGCCGUUGACACUGGCUGUCUUGAGAUGUCGUGAGGUAUGCGGAAUGCGCGGUGUAGCGGUGAAAUGCUUAGAUAUUGCGCAGAACUCCGAUUGCGAAGGCAGGAGACCGGCGGCGAUCUGACGCUGAGGCACGAAAGCGCGGGUAUCGAACAGGAUUAGAUACCCUAGUAGUC
This 459-nucleotide ribosomal RNA is filed under the name uncultured bacterium. RNAcentral's name for it is "partial 16S ribosomal RNA". It matches the Rfam family "Bacterial small subunit ribosomal RNA", at positions 338 to 795 of the family's 1533-position model. The record is from RNAcentral.